This 66-nucleotide transfer RNA is filed under the name Uvitellina sp. SSS-2019. RNAcentral describes it as "tRNA-Ala". The record is from RNAcentral. Lineage: Eukaryota; Metazoa; Platyhelminthes; Trematoda; Plagiorchiida; Cyclocoelidae.
GACAAUGUAGUUUAAGUUAUGUAAAUGGACGCUCUGCAAGUGUUUGAUGAGGUUUCUCCGUUGUUG